This 24-nucleotide non-coding RNA is filed under the name Arabidopsis thaliana (thale cress). Lineage: Eukaryota; Viridiplantae; Streptophyta; Magnoliopsida; Brassicales; Brassicaceae. The record is from RNAcentral.
AGCCAAUAUGAGUUUAAAUAUGGU